RNAcentral lists this ribosomal RNA (235 nucleotides) under uncultured bacterium. RNAcentral's name for it is "partial 16S ribosomal RNA". It matches the Rfam family "Bacterial small subunit ribosomal RNA", at positions 494 to 728 of the family's 1533-position model. The record is from RNAcentral.
UGGCUAACUCCGUGCCAGCAGCCGCGGUAAUACGGAGGGGGCUAGCGUUAUUCGGAAUUAUUGGGCGUAAAGGGCGCGUAGGCGGGUUAAUAAGUUAAAAGUGAAAUCCCAAGGCUUAACCUUGGAAUUGCUUUUAAAACUAUUAAUCUAGAGAUUGAAAGAGGAUAGAGGAAUUCCUGAUGUAGAGGUAAAAUUCGUAAAUAUUAGGAGGAACACCAGUGGCGAAGGCGUCUAU